This 305-nucleotide long non-coding RNA is filed under the name Brachypodium distachyon (stiff brome). RNAcentral's name for it is "long non-coding RNA (BDIS_LNC003591)". Lineage: Eukaryota; Viridiplantae; Streptophyta; Magnoliopsida; Poales; Poaceae. The record is from RNAcentral.
GAAGAGAAUUUCUUCCAUUAUGUUUAAUUUGAGGUUUAUAAUUUUUUUUCUACACAGUAGUACACAUAAAAUGACUCCAUGCAAAAGGAUUUCAGUUUUUGAUAAUUUUUUCAUUUUCUAAUAUUUUUUACAAACCAUGGUCAAACUUGCAUGCAUGACUAUUUCAUGUUAGGGUUUGGUUCUUUCAACUUUAUUUUCUCAGGGUAGGUACAAUCAUACUAGCACUGCAUAAAAUGAUUUUUUUCCAUAUUGUUUGAACAAUGUAUAACACACUUGUAGUUGAAAUUUUAAUUACAUAAGGUAAA